Molecule: signal recognition particle RNA, 298 nt
Filed under: Papio anubis (olive baboon)
Lineage: Eukaryota; Metazoa; Chordata; Mammalia; Primates; Cercopithecidae
Description: Metazoan signal recognition particle RNA (ENSPANG00000041070.1)
Rfam family: Metazoan signal recognition particle RNA
About the family: The signal recognition particle (SRP) is a universally conserved ribonucleoprotein. It is involved in the co-translational targeting of proteins to membranes.
Source: RNAcentral
GCCGGGCGAGGUGGCGGGCGCCUGUAGUCCCAGCUACUCGGGAGGCUGAGGCAGGAGAAUGGCGUGAACCCGGGAGGCGGAGCUUGCAGUGAGCUGAGAUCCGGCCACUGCACUCCAGCCUGGGCGGCAGAGCGAGACUCCGUCUCAAAAAAAAAAAAAAAAAAGCCAUUUUUGUUUCAUUUAUUUUCUUUUUUUGAGACGGAGUCUCGCGCUGUGUCACCCAGGCUGGAGUGCAGUGGCGCGAUCUCGGCUCACUGCAAGCUCCGCCUCCCAGGUUCAGGCCAUUCUCCUGCCUCAG